This 959-nucleotide ribosomal RNA is filed under the name Salmonella enterica subsp. enterica serovar Muenster. RNAcentral describes it as "bacterial LSU rRNA". It matches the Rfam family "Bacterial large subunit ribosomal RNA", at positions 690 to 1566 of the family's 2925-position model. Lineage: Bacteria; Pseudomonadati; Pseudomonadota; Gammaproteobacteria; Enterobacterales; Enterobacteriaceae. The record is from RNAcentral.
GGGCGUUAAGUUGCAGGGUAUAGACCCGAAACCCGGUGAUCUAGCCAUGGGCAGGUUGAAGGUUGGGUAACACUAACUGGAGGACCGAACCGACUAAUGUUGAAAAAUUAGCGGAUGACCUGUGGCUGGGGGUGAAAGGCCAAUCAAACCGGGAGAUAGCUGGUUCUCCCCGAAAGCUAUUUAGGUAGCGCCUCGUGAAUUCAUCUCCGGGGGUAGAGCACUGUUUCGGCUAGGGGGCCAUCCCGGCUUACCAACCCGAUGCAAACUGCGAAUACCGGAGAAUGUUAUCACGGGAGACACACGGCGGGUGCUAACGUCCGUCGUGAAGAGGGAAACAACCCAGACCGCCAGCUAAGGUCCCAAAGUCAUGGUUAAGUGGGAAACGAUGUGGGAAGGCCCAGACAGCCAGGAUGUUGGCUUAGAAGCAGCCAUCAUUUAAAGAAAGCGUAAUAGCUCACUGGUCGAGUCGGCCUGCGCGGAAGAUGUAACGGGGCUAAACCAUGCACCGAAGCUGCGGCAGCGAACGUAUCACUUAAAGCGAUUCAGCGGGUUACGAUUGACGGAGCGAAGCGACGUCAAAGCGUAUACAAAGUCGAGUCGGUUUAAGGAUACGUUCGUUGGGUAGGGGAGCGUUCUGUAAGCCUGUGAAGGUGUGCUGUGAGGCAUGCUGGAGGUAUCAGAAGUGCGAAUGCUGACAUAAGUAACGAUAAAGCGGGUGAAAAGCCCGCUCGCCGGAAGACCAAGGGUUCCUGUCCAACGUUAAUCGGGGCAGGGUGAGUCGACCCCUAAGGCGAGGCCGAAAGGCGUAGUCGAUGGGAAACGGGUUAAUAUUCCCGUACUUGGUGUUACUGCGAAGGGGGGACGGAGAAGGCUAUGUUGGCCGGGCGACGGUUGUCCCGGUUUAAGCGUGUAGGUGUGUGUUCCAGGUAAAUCCGGUUCACUUUAACACUGAGGCGUGA